Molecule: ribosomal RNA, 497 nt
Filed under: uncultured bacterium
Lineage: Bacteria
Description: partial 16S ribosomal RNA
Rfam family: Bacterial small subunit ribosomal RNA
Source: RNAcentral
GAUGAACGCUGGUGGCGUGCCUAAUACAUGCAAGUCGAGCGAACGGACGAGAAGCUUGCUUCUCUGAUGUUAGCGGCGGACGGGUGAGUAACACGUGGAUAACCUACCUAUAAGACUGGGAUAACUUCGGGAAACCGGAGCUAAUACCGGAUGAUAUUUUGAACCGCAUGGUUCAAAAGUGAAAGACGGUCUUGCUGUCACUUAUAGAUGGAUCCGCGCUGCAUUAGCUAGUUGGUAAGGUAACGGCUUACCAAGGCAACGAUGCAUAGCCGACCUGAGAGGGUGAUCGGCCACACUGGAACUGAGGCACGGUCCAGACUCCUACGGGAGGCAGCAGUAGGGAAUCUUCCGCAAUGGGCGAAAGCCUGACGGAGCAACGCCGCGUGAGUGAUGAAGGUCUUCGGAUCGUAAAACUCUGUUAUUAGGGAAGAACAUAUGUGUAAGUAACUGUGCACAUCUUGACGGUACCUAAUCAGAAAGCCACGGCUAACUACGUG